GGAGGGGAGGGGACGCUCAGCACGAAAACCCAGGGAGCUGGCCAUGUGGUGCCACCUCCCCUCACAGUUCAGGAGCAAAGCCACCCGCCUUGGAGUGACCAGGCAUUCCUGUUGGAGUUCAAGGGAGAUCGGGAGUUUCCUCCUGAGGACCACGUUUGGGCCAGCACUUUCUAGACAGCAGAUCGUUGGCAGGUAAGGAAGCACCCUGUCCAACUUCCCUCCUGGGCCAUGGCCACGCCCAGUGGUUCUCACCCUGCUGUCCCCACCCGUCACACAGAUGUGCCUGAGCCCCAGCCCUGGACAUGCUCACUCACUCGCCCUGGGCUGGGGCCUGGCACUGCGUGUUCUUAAAAGCUACACAAGUGACACUAAUGUGAACCAGGGGUGUGAACCACUGAGCUGGCAAGUGGCUUUUACUACACUGAAGAGUCAAAUAGGCCCCUUCAGCAGGGGUAGCCAAGGCCCCCAACCCCUGUCUCCAGCUGUGCACGUCAUUGUGGAGUUUGCCAAUAUGGCCCGUGGGCUGUGCAGCCCACCAGAUCACAGGGUGUGGCCUGAGAGCUUUAGGCAGGCAGGGGGGAGAAAGAGAGUUUGUCCAGAUGCUGGCAAGCCUUCAACCAGGAGGCCAGGGGGCCCAAACUCCUACUGCCGCUGUGCAAAUGACUGCCUCAGGCCCAUCAAUUAGUAACUGUAAUUGAAUCAAGACAUAAUUAAUUACUCUGUUUUGAGCUGUUCAGGUUUAAUUCCAUUUGCAUUAUUUUAUGAAACUGGAGCAUCUCGAAUGAUGAAUGUUAAAGGAAAAUAGGUGUGAUUGAAACUUUCCUUGGUAUUUAACUCAUGUUGGAAUCACUGCUGCCUCAAAUGAAUGCUCUUUAUAAUCAUUAAAACAGCUUCAUGUGGCCCAGCUCAAUCCUACAUUCUGAUCCUGUAGCCCAUUGCUGAACCACCCCAGUUGUCUCAAAGCUCCUAGAUAGCCUUGGCUGCUGUGAAGUUCACAGCAGGAAAAUGAUCUUAACCCUGGGUCUGUGAUUUGGGACUGGGUCGAACUAUCGCCACGCAAAGGUUGGGCUAAUGACGUUGCAGGUGCUUCCUGGAUACGUUUGGUUUGGUGGAUGAAGAGUGGAAGGAUGCAUUAGUAGAUGGAAGAGUAGAUGGAAGAGGGGUCAGUGGUAGAUUGAAAAUGGAUGAACAGAUGGAUGGAAGGAAGAGUGGGUAAGCGUGUGGAUGGAUGGAUAGAUGGAAAGAAGGAAGGAGAAAGAAAGAACAGCUCUUGGGCAUCAGGCAUUCUGCUCCCAGGCUAUGUUAACAUGAAAAUAUUGGGGAAAGGAUCCUAAAGUGACUUAGGAAUCAGGUGACAAUCAGAAUGCCUAGUACCCAAUGGCUGAUUUUCUUUCCUUUCCAUCCACCCACCCACCCAUCCAUCUAUCCAUCAGUUAUUCAAGCCACUCGCUGACCCAUCUUCCAUCCAAGCAUGUUCUCCCCAGUGGCCCCUCCCCAAUCGACCAGUCCAAGGCACCUAAAAUACAUGCUCCGAGAGUCACUCCUUUGGUGUGAGUGACUCUCAGGAUGGGCUCGCCCGUCCAGCCACUCCUCCUUAGGAACAUUGCUCUCCCGGAAGGUGGCGGAUGGGCCAGGGUCAUCAGAAGUCUCCUCCAGCUCUGACUCAGUUCUUCCCAGGUCACUGGCUCAGCUAGUCCCGUUUCCAGGGCCAGAGGGUCACUGAAAACAACACAACUCACCGGAGAGGAUAAAGAAGAUGCCGGAGACGAAGGCCAGUAUCGUCCUGUGGGGGCGGAUGUGUCCAAUGUUGCUCAGGAUAAAGCCAAUGAACAUGAAGAAGAGGCUGACCAGCGGGAACGGUGUGGCUGAGCGAAUCAUCUCUAGAAUGGAACCAAAUAAAAACUCUGGACACCAAAGCUCGGUUGAACUUCCUGGGUGAUGAACACAUAGAUGUGUUAGGAUGUGGUACAUCCUGAUCCUAUGGGGACAGGACACUACAGCUCUGCACUGGGGACCCUCCCAGACCUUGCCCUGUGUGUCUCUUCAUUUGGCACAUCCUGAUUUGCAUGCUUCAUAACAAAACUGUCAUGCCAGUGGCCAGGUGCAAAGUUCGAGGCACCUACUUAGAACAUUGACCGUGGACUCGGACGUCAGCUGGGAGUUCAUGGGCAUCACGUAUUCUAUGGUGAA
Non-coding RNA from Microcebus murinus (gray mouse lemur), 2190 nucleotides. NCBI's taxonomy places the organism in Eukaryota, Metazoa, Chordata, Mammalia, Primates, Cheirogaleidae. The record is from RefSeq and is a predicted model, not a curated record.